RNAcentral lists this small RNA (546 nucleotides) under Histoplasma capsulatum var. duboisii H88. RNAcentral describes it as "Histoplasma capsulatum H88 hypothetical RNA". Lineage: Eukaryota; Fungi; Ascomycota; Eurotiomycetes; Onygenales; Ajellomycetaceae. The record is from RNAcentral.
AGCUGACUUUGGAGAAUCCUUUUUGCCCACUAUGAUUCCUCAAACACUACGUACACCCUUAUCUGUUCGAGCUCCUGAGGUUGUAUUUCAGGAUUGCAGUGACUAUCGGGCUGACUUGUGGAGCAUGGGAUGCAUGGUCAACCGCCAUUUGACACCUUGUUGAUAACGCCAGUGGGCGACGUGGCCACAGGAGGUGAUAUGACCAAUAAACCAGAUCCAGUUUGCAGGAAUGGCUGGAAGAGGUGUACCUUGAGAGCGCCCAUCUCACAAGAGAGGAUAUCUUGAGCCUGGGACAAAUCAUUGGAAGGUUAAUUGUAUUUUGAGCCCUCUGCAAGAGCGUCAGCGAGGCAAGUUCUAGAUGACCCUUGGUUUAAUGAGUAAUUCGUAUACAACAGAGUCAUUGCGCUUGUGUGGGUGUGUUGGCGAGGAACACCAGCGCAGGAAUUAGUGAAACCGCAAGAUACCUUUAGUCUACCAGAGCUUUAGGGAAGCUAUAAGAACCCUUGGCCAUCUCAUACCCUUCAGCGAAACACUUAGGUACCUAAC